This 1332-nucleotide long non-coding RNA is filed under the name Malus domestica (apple). Its description in RNAcentral is "long non-coding RNA (MDOM_LNC019432)". The record is from RNAcentral. Lineage: Eukaryota; Viridiplantae; Streptophyta; Magnoliopsida; Rosales; Rosaceae.
AAAAAAAAGGUUGUGCGAAAAUCAAUUCCCACAACUUACAAAGCUAAAGCAUUAUUUUACUUAAAUUUCCAGAUUCCGAGUCAUGCAAGUAAGGUAAGAUCUAAACCCACAGUUAGAGAUAAUUAUGCAAAAGGCUAACCAGUCCCAUAACCUAUGACACACCCCGUCCCAAAGGAGGGCAUGCUGGCCGUCACGUGAGAGUGACGUAACCAUUUGCACAGUACGGAAGCUUUAAGAUACAAUUUAUAAGUUGAUACACCCGAAGGUGAGUCCUAAUUUUGUCCAUUCUGUCAGAACACCGUCGAAUUCCUCGUAGUCACCACACCUUUGUGAUUCCUGAACCUGGAGGGGCGCAAAACCAAAAUUGAGUGGGUCAGUAAAACAAUUCUUCUCCAAAUCCAAACAUUUCUCAAAACGUUGUAACCCCUCUCCGUAAAACCUGUAUACUUUCCCAGAAAUGUAAAAUAUAAAUAUACAUAUAUAUUCUCAAAACUUCAUUUUUACUAUCUCAACAUUUUCUUUAUCAAUCAUGCCAUGCCAUGUCUAAUUCAACAGUUAAGUAUGGAUGCAUCAACAAUAAUCAUAUCAGGUGCAAGAAAGUAAUCAACCGGAGGCCCUCUAAUAGCCCUGUACGGUUGAAUCUAGAGCUCAAAAUCUAUCACUAUCACUCUGCCGGAGUCACCUCUGUGACCUGUACGGCCUUCUGCACAUAAGUUACGCUCUAGUGCUUUCUCAUCAAUCAUCUGUGCACAUAAUCUAAGGUCACCCACCAGUCGAAAUCUCACUAACACUCUUCGACUGGCCCGUCGCACCCACUCCGCGUGGACUGUGCGACCAGCAUCUACUUGGAUCCAAGGCGAGCGUGCGAUGCGGUGAAUACUAUAAGCACUAAACUAUGGUGCAGGAUUUGAGCUCAAUAUACAUCAACAUCAUCAUAACAGUAAUUAAAUACUCACCUGAUACUCACCUGUGCGUCCGCCGCACCAUUCAUUCAUAUGCAUCAUAUCUCAAUUCAUACUUUUCAUAUCAUUUCAUGCAUGGCAAUUCGAUUCACAUUUCUAUAUACUUUGCAUAUAAUUUUAUGCAUGGCAUCUCAAUUCACAUCUCAAUAUACUUUUCAUAUAAUUUUAUGCAUUGCAUUUAAAGCAUAAUUUCAUGCAUUUUCAAUUUCUGGGAAAACGGUAAGUAUAUAUGUAUACGGAAAACAAAACUGCCCACUCACCUGGAGUUCGCCCUACAACUCCCUAGCACAAUACGCCAAGGCGUCAUGACGAUCGGCGCCUAAAACAAUAAUCAAUUCCAACCUCAGAAUUCAUAUCGAUAGAAUAUAUA